This 450-nucleotide ribosomal RNA is filed under the name uncultured bacterium. RNAcentral's name for it is "bacterial SSU rRNA". It matches the Rfam family "Bacterial small subunit ribosomal RNA", at positions 354 to 796 of the family's 1533-position model. The record is from RNAcentral.
GUGGGGAAUAUUGGACAAUGGGGGCAACCCUGAUCCAGCAAUACCGCGUGUGUGAAGAAGGCCUGCGGGUUGUAAAGCACUUUCAGUGGGGAGGAAGAGCUCGGUGCUAAUAGUAUCGAGUUGAGACGUUACCCACAGAAGAAGCACCGGCUAACUCUGUGCCAGCAGCCGCGGUAAUACAGAGGGUGCAAGCGUUAAUCGGAAUCACUGGGCGUAAAGGGUGCGUAGGUGGUUGAAUAAGUCAGAUGUGAAAUCCCUGGGCUCAACCUAGGCAUUGCAUUUGGUACUGUUCAGCUAGAGUGCAGUAGAGGAAUGUGGAAUUUCCGGUGUAGCGGUGAAAUGCGUAGAUAUCGGAAGGAACAUCAGUGGCGAAGGCGACAUUCUGGACUGUAACUGACACUGAGGCACGAAAGCGUGGGGAGCGAACAGGAUUAGAUACCCUGGUAGUCC